Non-coding RNA from Xyrichtys novacula (pearly razorfish), 4845 nucleotides. The record is from the annotation of a GenBank genome assembly. Lineage: Eukaryota; Metazoa; Chordata; Actinopteri; Labriformes; Labridae.
CUUAAAAGGCAGGAAGGUGAGAAGUGGCAUAAGUUUAAGUUGUAGUACUAGAAGUAGUAUGAUAAGAAGUCAAGUCGUGAUACUAGUAGUCAUGUCAGCAGUAGAAGUAGUUUGAGAAUAAAAGAACUAUAGCAAUAGCAGUUGAAGUAGAGAAAGUAGAAAUAGGAGCAAUAGCAGUUGAAGUAGAGGGGAAAGUACUAGUUAAAUUGACAUUAGCAGUAGUUGUCGUACUUGAGGUAGGAUUUUGUUUGAAGGAUGGAGUAAUGCAUGAAUAUUAAAACUAAUUUAAAACAUGGAAAAUUUAAAUACUUAAAAAUCCUCAAGUAUCAGUUUGAAUGAGUUUAAAUUAGUUUGAAAAAUUAAAUGAUAAAUCAUCAAUGAGUGACUUAUAAAAGUGAAAAAUGUAAAUGAAUAUAAAUCCUGAAUACACCCCAUAAUGUCCUCAAUGAGCUUAAAUUUUAAAGCCCUGAAUGGUUUCUGUAGGUCAAAGGUCAUGUGAGGAGAUAGGGGCUGAAGUUUUUUCAAGCGCUCUAGGAAAGGGUUUUAAGUGUCAUCCCCAGUGCUAUGUGUACUGAGCCUGGCUUCAUGUGUCUCAUAUGGCCAUUAGAAGCAGCUUUCCAGUCAGCUGUGUGUCUCCAGGUGCACAAAUUGGUUGCCAUGGGGACCUUGGAUGCAUAACUAUAGCAGGAGAAAGAAGGCUUGAAGCUAAGGAAACAGGACUCCAAGUAGGCCCUGACGCUCAUCCUCUGUAUAUAUUCAUGAUAAGGAGCUUGUGAGAACACAAGACUCUGCUGAACACAUUAAUACAAUUUAUUAUCACAAUCCUCAAAACACCCCAUAAUAUCUUCAAUGAGCUGAAUUUUUCAAGCCCAGAAUGGUUUCUGUAGCUCAAAGUUUGUGGGUGGAGAUAGGUGGUGAAGCAGACACAUAUUAACUGUGUGUACAAGCAGCUGAACUGCAAGGUAGACCUGACAAUGCAACAAGUACAAGAAUGUGUGUGUGUGUGUGUGUGUGUGUGUGUGUGUGUGUGUGUGUGUGUGUGUGUGUGUCUCGUUAAUGACUGCAUCCUAAACAGCUGUGAGAUCAAAGGCAAAUCACUGACCUACUGUUUGACUGAGAGGUGCUGAACUGCUGAGGAUUUAUAGCCUCUGAACUUCUUCACAUAGCGUGAUUUCCUUAAGUCCCAGAAUGAAAAUAAGAACAUCGUACGAAUCCUCCGCCCUUCAUGAACACAAUGAUGUGUUUUUCAUGUCUGUACUCCGAAAAAUGUGGCCACAACAGCGAGUUAAAAAAGUCUGAGCCUGAGUGGGGAUAAGGAUUUUCUUGGAGAAGAAAUACAUUAGGUCUAAUGGGGAGAGAUUUCCGCCUAUUUGGACAGUUGGUCACCUGCUGGCCAAGGAGUACCAUUUAAUGAUUCGAAACCUCUUUUGUAAGAAGCAGGACACAUAUACCUCCAUUUUGAUGUAUUUUUUAUGGCUGUGGAGUGAGAUUUGUGGGCGUGGGAGCGAUAUAUUUGAGCGAGGUUCUGUCGAUCAGAGACGAGGUCUGCACUCUAGCUUUUCAAAUCAUCACUCUAGCCUCUCCAAUACACCCCCAUUAUAAAGCCUGAAAAUUGCUGAAAACCACGAGGUGCUUCAAGCUAAAUUGGGGGAAAACUGUAGAAGAUAGCACAAAAAAGUUAAUACAACAUCAAUAGUCGACAAGUGAAUGAACAUUUUAAAGCAAAAAUGAGGUCUCUAGGUGAAAGUAUGCUGAAGUUAUAAGGCUUAGAAGGUGGAAGAAGAAAAAGAAGAAUUGGAAGAUUUCCCCAUUCAUUUCUAUGGGAAAAAAAGUUUGAGACAAAAAGUGAAAAAUAAUAAAAAGUAUAAAGGGUAGAAAAGAGAAAAGUAAUAGCCAUCAUGUCCCGAUGGAGUGUAAUAGUUUAAAGUUUGAACGGUUGAAAUCGGACAAAGUUUGAAGGAGGAGAAGCGGUCCAAAGAAACGUAUGGGGAGAGUGUUAAGUAUAAUACUAGAAAAAUUGCAUUUCCUUGCAGAAAAUGCGUGGAAAUGCUGAGUGCUGAAAGCUGAAAAAGCAAUGCUAAACUGCUAAUAAAACAUGGAGAAAGGUAUAAAUGUUAAAGCUGUUGAAGGGGUGAACAGAAAUAUAAGUUGGAUAAUUGAUUAAUUGGUUGAAGGACAAAUAGUAUGAAUAUGCUCUAUAAAAGGAAAUUUUAUUCAUGCUGAAAGAGGCUAGAAAAAUGUCGAAAAUUGCACAAAGUUUUAAUGAAGAAGGAAAUUGCCUUAAAAGGCAGGAAGGUGAGAAGUGGCAUAAGAUUCAGUUGUAGUACUAGAAGUAGUAUGAUAAGAAGUCAAGUCGUGAUACUAGUAGUCAUGUCAGCAGUAGAAGUAGAUUGAGAAUAAAAGAAGUAUAAGUCAAAGUAGUAAAGAAAGUAGAAAUAGGAGCAAUAGCAGUUGAAGUAGAGGGGAAAGUUCUAGUUUAAUUGACAUUAGCAGUAGUUGUCGUACUUGAGGUAGGAUUUUGUUUGAAUGAUGGAGUAAUGCAUAAAUAUUAAAACUAAUUUAAAACAGGGAAAAUUUAAAUUAUCAAAAGUCCUCAAGUAUCAGAAAGUUUUGAAGUAUUAGAAAGGUUUGAAUCAGUUUGAAUGAGUUUAAAUUAGUUUGAAAAAUUAAAUGAUAAAUCAUCACUGAGUGACUUUUAAAAUGUGAAAAAUUUAAAUGAAUAACAAUCCUAAAUACACCCAAUAAUGUCCUCAAUGAGCUUAAAUUUCAAAGCCCUGAAUGGUUUCUGUAGGUCAAAGGUCAUGUGAGGAGAUAGGGGCUGAAGUUUUUUCCAACGCUCUAGGAAAGGGUUUUAAGUGUCAUCCCAAUUGCUAUGUGUACUGAGCCUGGCUUCAUGUGUCUCAUAUGGCCACUAGAAGCAGCUUUCCAGUCAGCUGUGUGUCUCCAGGUGCACAAAUUGGUUGCCAUGGGGACCUUGGAUGCAUAACUAUAGCAGGAGAAAGAAGGCUUGAAGCUAAAGAAACAGGACUCCAAGUAGGCCCUGACGCUCACCCUCUGUAUAUAUUCAUAAGGAGCUUGUGAGAACACAAGACUCUGCUGAACACAUUAAUACAAUUUAUUAUCACAAUCCUCAAAACACCCCAUAAUAUCUUCAAUGAGCUGAAUUUUUGAAGCCCAGAAUGGUUUCUGUAGCUCAAAGUUUGUGGGUGGAGAUAGGUGGUGAAGCAGACACAUAUUAACUGUGUGUACAAGCAGCUGAACUGCAAGGUGGACCUCAAAAAGCAACAAGUACAAGAAUGUGUGUGUGUGUGUGUGUGUGUGUGUGUGUGUGUGUGUGUGUGUGUGUGUGUGUGUGUGUGUGUGUAUGUGUGUCUCGUUAAUGAUUGCAUCCUAAACAGCUGUGAGAUCAAAGGCAAAUCACUAACCAACUGUUUGACUGAGAGGUGCUGAACUGCAGUGAAUUUCAGCCUGUGAACUUCUUCACAUAGCGUGAUUUCCUUAAGUCCCAGAAUGAAAAUAAGAACAUCGUACGAAUCCUCCGUCCUUCAUGAACACAAUGAUGUGUUUUUCAUGUCUGUACUUCGAAAAAUGAGGCCACAACAGCGAGUUAAAAAAGUCUGAGCCUGAGCGAUGAUCCGGAUUUUCCUGGAGAAAAAUAACAUUAUGGUCAAUGGGAGAGAUUUCCGCCUUUUUUGGACAGUUGGUCACCUGCUGGCCAAGGGGUACGAUUUAAUGAUUUGAAACCUCUUUUGUGAGAAGCAGGACACAUAUACCUCCAUUUUGAUGUAUUAUUUGUGUCAGUGGAGUGAGAUUUGUGGGCGUGGGAGCGAUAUAUUCGAGCGAGGUUCUGUCGAUCAGAGACGAGGUCUGCACUCUAGCUGAUGACAUCAUCACUCUAAACUCUCCAAUACACACCCAUUAUAAAGCUUGAAAUUUGCUGAAAACCACAAGUUGCUUAAAGCUAAAUUGUGGAAAAACUGUAAAAGAUAUCAAAAAACUGAGUACAACUUUAAUAGUCGACAAGUGAAUGAACAUUUUAAAGCAAAAAUUAGGUCUCUAGGUGAAAGUAUGCUGAAGUUAUAAGGUCUAGAAGGUGGAAGAGGAAAAGGUAGAUUUUAAGAUUUCCCCAUUCAUUUUUAAUGGUACAAAUUUUGCACAAAAAGUUAAAAAAAACAAAAAGUAUAAAGGGUAGAAAGGAAAAAAAUAGACGCCAUAAUGUCCUGAAUGAGUGGAAUAGUUUAAAGUUUGAACGGUUGAAAUCGGACAAAGUUUGAAGGAGGAGAAGCGGUCCAAAAAUCGGCGGAAGAAUAAUAAUAAGUUUAAUAAAGAAACAGGAGAAUAACAAUAAGUGGAAAUGCUUAAUCAGCAUUUCCACUUAACUAGAAAAAUUGCAUUUCCUUGCAGAAAAUGCGUGGAAAUGCUGAGUGCUGAAAGCUGAAAAAGCAAUGCUAAACUGCUAAUAAAACAUGGAGAAAGGUAUAAAUGUUAAAGCGUUUGAAGGGGUGAAAAAGAAAUGUAAGUUGGAUAAUUGAUUAAUUGGUUGAAGGACAAAUAGUAUGAAUAUGCUCUAUAAAAGGAAAUUUUAUUCAUGCUGAAAGAGGCUAGAAAAAUGUCUAAAAUUGCACAAAGUUUGAAUGAAGAAGGAAACUGCCUUAAAAGGCAGGAAGUUGAGAAGUGGCAUAAGUUUAAGUUGUAGUACUAGAAGUAGUAUAGGAGGUCAAGUCGUGAUACUAGUAGUCAUGUCAGCAGUAGAAGUAGUUUGAGAAUAAAAGAAGUAUAAGUCACAGUAGUAGAGAAGGUAGAAAUAGGAGCAAUAGCAGUUGAAGUAGAGAAAGUAGAAAAAGG